This is a non-coding RNA of Parelaphostrongylus tenuis, 75 nucleotides long. Lineage: Eukaryota; Metazoa; Nematoda; Chromadorea; Rhabditida; Metastrongylidae. The record is from the annotation of a GenBank genome assembly.
GCGUCAGUAGUGCAGCGGGUUAGAGCACGCGCUCCCAGAAAGAGUGUGGUGCAGGUUCUAGUCCUUCCUGACGCG